GAAGGAGUGGGUCUUGUGGAGAAACGGUCCUAGGAUGAGGGUGUGGCCUGUGCAUAGGUGGAUGGGGCUUGGAGAGGUCAGACUUGGGUGAGGGGCAGAGCCUUGGACAGGUGGUCCCAGGACAGGAAUGUGGCCUAUUCAUAGGUGGGUGGGACCUUGGAGAGGUAGGCAGGGCCUUGGAGAGGUGCGACCUGGGAGAGGAAUGGAGCCUUGGAGAGGUGGGACCUGGGUGAGGGGCAGAGCCUUGGAGAGGUGGGACCUGGGAGAGGAAUGGAGCCUUGGAGAGGUGGGACCUGGGAGAGGGGCGGAGCCUUGGAGAGGUGGGACCUGAGUGAGGGGUGGGGCCUUGGAGAGGUAGGAGCUGGGAGACAGGUAGAGCCAUGGAGAGGUGGGAUCUGGGUGAGGCACGGGGCCUUGGAGAGGUGGGACCUGGGUGAGGGGUGGAACCUCGGAG
RNAcentral lists this long non-coding RNA (454 nucleotides) under Homo sapiens (human). RNAcentral describes it as "HSALNT0255242". The record is from RNAcentral. Lineage: Eukaryota; Metazoa; Chordata; Mammalia; Primates; Hominidae.